Girardinichthys multiradiatus is the source of this 1434-nucleotide long non-coding RNA. RefSeq lists it as uncharacterized. The record is from RefSeq and is a predicted model, not a curated record. The transcript has 2 exons. Lineage: Eukaryota; Metazoa; Chordata; Actinopteri; Cyprinodontiformes; Goodeidae.
GUAGGAGCUCCAACCUGGUUCAGACGGUGAUCAGAUCUGGUCCGGGUCGCUCCAUAUCUACAAGUUCAGCUCAGAAACCUUUAAUAUGUCUUAUCAGAAUUUGACUCAGUAGGAAACACAAUCAUGGGGAUGACUGCUGACUGUACAGAUGUCCAGAAGACAGCCAUGGGCACCGUCUUUGCUAAACAAGCUGGUGUUGAAAAAUCCAAGGUAAAACCCCCUUGGAGCGUGGGCCCUCUUAGGAGAGGCAGAGGUGAGACCUGUUGGUUAAUUCUGCACCAAGUGCUCUCCUUUAUCAUGUAUUUCACAGACCCAGAACCUGCAACUAUUUGCUGGAGCUCUGACAUAAAUAAUACAGCAGGGGGGAGUGAAUACUUUUGUCAGGCCAGGCAGAGUAUCAGUUCAUGAAACAAAGAUACUUUGUAAAUUUUGAUCAACACUGGCUCUUCACAGAGAGCUGUAUCCAAACAUAUUCACAGGACACUGAGUGGAAGGAAAAAGUGCUCCGGCAGCAACCGCAACCUUGAGAGGAUUGUCAAGCAAACUCUGUUUAAGAAUCUGGUGGAGCUUCACAAGAGGUGGACUGAUGCUGGAGUCACAUCAUCAAGAUCCACUACACACAGACGGAUCUGACACAUGGGCUACAAGCAUCUUACCUGGGCUGAGGAGAAACAGAACCAGACUGUUGCUCAGGUCCAAAGUCCUCUUUUCACAUGAAAGUAAAGUGUUCAUUUCAUUUGGAGAUCAAGGUCCCAGAGUCUGGAGGAAGAGUGGAGAGGCCCAGAAUCCACGUUGCUUGAAGUCCAGUGGGAAGUUUCCACAGUCACUGAUGGUUUGGGUGACAUGACAUCUGCUGGUUCUGGUCCAGUGGGUUUUUCUAAAGUCCACAGUCAACACAGCCAUCUACCAGGACAUUUUAAAGCACUUCAUGCUUCCUGCUGCUGACAAGCUUUAUGGAGAUACUGAUUUCAUUUUCCAGCAGAACAUGGUACCGACCCACACUGCCAAAGGUACCAAAAGCUGGUCCAAUGACCAUGGUGGUACUGGGCUUGACUUGCCAGCAAAUUGGGCUGAGCAGAACCCCAUAGAGAAUCUAUGGAGUUCUGACAAGAGGAAGAUGAGAGACACCAGAACCAAGAAUGAAGAUGCUAUCAAAGCAAUCUGGACUUCCUGAACACCUCACCAGAACCACAGGUUGAUCUCCUCCCUGCCACGCCGCAUUGAUGCAAUAACUCAGGCAAAAGGAGCCCAGACCAGGUACUGAGUCCAUAGAAAUGAACAAACUAUUCAGAAGUCUGACAUUUCUGUUUAAAAUGUCAUUUUUAUUGAUCUGAUGUAAUAUUCUGAUGUUCUGAGACUCUGAAGUUUGGGUUUUGAUUCUCUGUAAACCAGAACCAUCAGAAUUACAAGAAAUAAAGGCUUGAAACAUUUCAA